Onthophagus taurus is the source of this 952-nucleotide non-coding RNA. The record is from RefSeq and is a predicted model, not a curated record. NCBI's taxonomy places the organism in Eukaryota, Metazoa, Arthropoda, Insecta, Coleoptera, Scarabaeidae.
CUGAACGAUUUGAUUAUAUUAUUACAAUACGUAAUAAAAUAAAGUGUUAUAGACAUUUUAUAUUACCCAUUUAGAAUUUUAUAAUAAAAUCGACAACCACACAAUUUCAAUAGCUUAAAAGCUUGGCUCUAUAUCAUUUUAAAGUUGCAUAUAGUUCCUGUAUUGCCCUUUCCCCAUAGUAUACAAGGUUACAUUAUCGUCAAUAAUCCAACCUUCAGUAUGGUUGAUAUGGUAGUUAGUUGGUGGUGGCAGGUAUUAUGUAUUGUGUACAGUAAUCCUUUAUCGAACGCGUUCUGGGACGUAUUGUAGGAAUUCUAGUAGCAAUUGAAGCGAACGUUCAAGAUAUGAAUAGAUGUUAAGUAUGUUGACUUGGGCUCAUGAAGUAAUUCCAUUCAUCGUUGAAAGAACGUUUUUGUCUUCAUUUAUUGACAUACAUAAUUUUCUUAAUAUAAACAACAGAAUUCCAUAGUUUCGAAAUGAUAACUUCAAUUCGCGGUUCGGGAUCGUAAAUUAUUUAAAAUUUUCCGUUAUUAUUUCUUUUCUUUACUCGCGAAAACAUUAAUAAAAUUAACCACAUGAAUUUGAAUAAGCGUACGAAAUUUUAUGCAUCUAAAAAAAAGAUUUCUUUUUCGACCAUGGUCAAGAAAUAUGUUUUUGUAUUUUCAUUACUAAUGGCUUUUAACAUCAGCUUUCAUUUAAUAAAAUACGUCGAUUUCGCGAAUCGAGACGAUCGAGAGGAUUGGCACAAAAAAACUUGUGAAAUGAUCGAAUUAAUCAAAGAAGGAUUAUGCAAUACGUGGAAUGUGUUAAGAAAAACAAUUUGUCGCCAACCGGUGUAUAAACCGCAACCGUUUUAUAUGCAUAUUUGGAACUAUCUUCUCGGUAUUGAACAUGAUGAUGGUUGUCCAAGAAACAUUUUCGAUUUGUUAAGAAUUUAAUAAAAAAUUAAUAA